CUGAAAUAUUACAAAAAUUACUAAAUCUAUGAAAAAUGUAGUUGUAAAUGUUUGUAUGAAAAAAGAAAUUAUUUCACAAUCAUCACUUUUCAAAUUUAGAUGUUUUUUUUAUGAAAAGUUUAUUUAUCAACCAUCUUCAACCAUAGAACAUGAUCACAUAAUAAUAUCAGUCUGUGGGUACUAUAUUUGAAAUAAUAAAAUAAGCACCAUUGGAUUAAACAAACAAUUUAUAUGCCAAAAAGUUGCAAAAGUUACUGUAGGCUACCCAAUAGCUGUUGGUUUAUUGUAUAUAAAAAUUUGUAAGGGUUCUGCGGAACCAAGUGUCUGGCCUACUUUAAGAAUCAAAUAAUUGUUUUAAAAGUUUAUCAGUAAAAUACAGAAUAACAGGAAAUAAAUUUUACAAAACUUACUUCUGGAUACUAUCUAAUGAUCAUAAACAGGCUUCUGUCCAAGUUUGGUAUCUCAAGAAUAGUUUAAGAAAGUUUCAAAACUUUAACCACAGAGUGAAUAUUUGCAGACGCUGUCUCUAACAGAAUAUAGGAUCACUAUGUCUUGCUUUUGAAACAAGUCACAGCUUGACAAAAAUGGAUUAAAAACUCAAAUGACCAGAUUAAAAUAUUUGUUUUAAAAAAGAUGAUAUUACAUGAUGGGGAUGAAGAAUAUCUUUAUUAUAAGAUGAAAAAUAAAUAACAUAAAGCUUACUGUAAAAUGAUUAAGUUCCAAAGACAAAGCUUAGAAAAAAGUGAGAAAAAAAUCCUUUCACAAAUCAUUAAAACAUGAGCACACCUUCACAGUAUGUGCAAUGUUGCUGUGAAGUUUAUGUAAUCUGCGUUGAAAACUGAAGGAGAAGAUGUUUACAUAAAACAUAAAUUUUGUUGAAAAAAGUCAAGCUUGAUAUAAAUUUAGUUGCAACAUGUCUAGAAAUUAUGACUGAUGUAUCAAAUCCAGCAAAAAAUUGUGUAACUUAACCAUAAAAACGAAUAAACUCAAACCUGAUUUCUAAAGACAAUAUUUUUCAGCUUGUGAUAAAAAAAAAUGAUGUAAAGAUUUGGCACAACACCCUCAACACACAUAGUGUUAGGUCUUUACAUAAAAUACAGUCCAGUGUUGCUUAUCACUGCAUGUGUAACACACUUCACAUGUAUACAAAAGUACUGCACAUCACAAUAUCACACAAUAAUACACAAUAAUACACAAUAAUA
This 1202-nucleotide long non-coding RNA is filed under the name Mytilus galloprovincialis (Mediterranean mussel). The record is from RNAcentral. Lineage: Eukaryota; Metazoa; Mollusca; Bivalvia; Mytilida; Mytilidae.